Molecule: long non-coding RNA, 201 nt
Filed under: Elaeis guineensis (African oil palm)
Lineage: Eukaryota; Viridiplantae; Streptophyta; Magnoliopsida; Arecales; Arecaceae
Description: long non-coding RNA (EGUI_LNC046682)
Source: RNAcentral
CCGUAGCGAUUAGGUCAUCAUAUAACCUAAUCGGGUUUGACCUAAUUGAAUCUAAUUCAAUUAGACUUGAUCUAAACUUUAAUGCUUAAUCAAAUUGAGCUAAUCAAUAAUCUAAUUACUAAUUAAUCUUUUUAAAUUUUACAAACUCUUAGCAAAUAAUUUUAUUGCAACUAUUGCAUAAGAUUAAUCAUCAAUCAUAUU